GCACUGGCUUCAGAAAUACAUCUGCUAAAACUGGAAGGAUGUGCAGAAGAUAAGCAUGGUGCCUGGGAAAGGAUGACGUGCAAAUUCGUGAAGUGGUCCGCAUUAAG
Small nuclear RNA from Otolemur garnettii (small-eared galago), 107 nucleotides. NCBI's taxonomy places the organism in Eukaryota, Metazoa, Chordata, Mammalia, Primates, Galagidae. The record is from Ensembl.